CUAGCCGUAAACGAUGUGAACUUGGCGUUGGUGGGUUAAACUCCAUCAGUGUCGUAGCUAACGCGAUAAGUUCACCGCCUGGGGACUACGGCCGCAAGGUUAAAACUCAAAGGAAUUGACGGGGGCCCGCACAAGCAGCGGAGCGUGUGGUUUAAUUCGAUGCUACACGAAGAACCUUACCCGGGCUUGACAUGACGAUGAACGAUUGCGAAAGCAUGAGGCUCCCGCAAGGGACAUCGCCACAGGUGUUGCAUGCCUGUCGUCAGCUCGCGUCGUGAGAUGUUCGGUUAAGUCCGCUAACGAGCGCAACCCUCGCCGCGUGUUACAAGUGUCACGCGGGACCGCCGGUAUCAAGCCG
RNAcentral lists this ribosomal RNA (358 nucleotides) under uncultured bacterium. Its description in RNAcentral is "bacterial SSU rRNA". It matches the Rfam family "Bacterial small subunit ribosomal RNA", at positions 796 to 1165 of the family's 1533-position model. The record is from RNAcentral.